GCAGAACAACACCUCGGCCACCACAGGCUAUGCACAGAAAAGCUCUGGUAGUCUCAGAGCUAGAAGAUACAUCCAAGGCUGUCUCAGGGUGCAGGCAACUGAUGAAGCAUCUCCUGCUCUGGGGCUAAUUGCAGCUGUUAACGAAGUGGGGGAGAGAGAUGAUGAUGACAGACAGCUCCUCUCCCACCUGCAGGGGUCAGUAAAUGGCCUGGACCAAGGCCUGGAAAUUCCCUAGCAGGGAGUUCAACCCAGCUGGAGCCUAGUGUGGAACCACUUAAGAGCCAAGAGUGUUCCU
RNAcentral lists this long non-coding RNA (295 nucleotides) under Chinchilla lanigera (long-tailed chinchilla). Its description in RNAcentral is "lncRNA (ENSCLAG00000024078.1)". Lineage: Eukaryota; Metazoa; Chordata; Mammalia; Rodentia; Chinchillidae. The record is from RNAcentral.